Molecule: ribosomal RNA, 495 nt
Filed under: uncultured bacterium
Lineage: Bacteria
Description: partial 16S ribosomal RNA
Rfam family: Bacterial small subunit ribosomal RNA
Source: RNAcentral
GAUGAACGCUGGCGGCGUGCCUAAUACAUGCAAGUAGAACGCUGAAGGAGGAGCUUGCUCUUCUGGAUGAGUUGCGAACGGGUGAGUAACGCGUAGGUAACCUGCCUGGUAGCGGGGGAUAACUAUUGGAAACGAUAGCUAAUACCGCAUGACAACAGUUAUUGCAUGAUAACUGUUUAAAAGGGGCAACUGCUCCACUACCAGAUGGACCUGCGUUGUAUUAGCUAGUUGGUGAGGUAACGGCUCACCAAGGCGACGAUACAUAGCCGACCUGAGAGGGUGAUCGGCCACACUGGGACUGAGACACGGCCCAGACGCCUACGGGAGGCAGCAGUAGGGAAUCUUCGGCAAUGGACGGAAGUCUGACCGAGCAACGCCGCGGGAGUGAAGAAGGGUGUCGGAUCGUAAAGCUCUGUUGUAAGAGAAGAACGAGUGUGAGAGUGGAAAGUUCACACUGUGACGGUAUCUUACCAGAAAGGGACGGCUAACUACGUG